This 774-nucleotide long non-coding RNA is filed under the name Homo sapiens (human). Its description in RNAcentral is "non-protein coding lnc-SLC5A10-1:1". The record is from RNAcentral. Lineage: Eukaryota; Metazoa; Chordata; Mammalia; Primates; Hominidae.
GAGCUUGUUUCAAAACAGGCCGGCUGAACACAUGGGAGUCACAGGGACCCGGCAGAGCCUGGAAGGCAUCAGGUGGGUGGGAAUGCUUUUCCCCCAGCAGGAGCCCUCAUGGGCUCCUGGCCCAGCCUGUCUGAGUCUGCCUUUGUCUGCUUCUUUGGGACCCCCUGACUCCAAGCCCCAUCAAGCUUGCAUCUCCACACCCAGCCCCAGUGUUAGCUAUCGACCCAGGCCUGUAUUUCUUUGUCCUUUAUUUUUAUUUUUAUUUUUAUUUUUUGAGACAGAGUCUUACUCCAUCACCCAGGCUGGAGUGCAGUGGCACAAUCUCGGCUCACUAGUGAUCCACCCGCCUUGGCCUCCCGAACUGCUGGGAUUACAGGCGUGAGCCACCACACCUGGCCUUCAUCCUUUAGGAGAUCAUGAGAGGCCACUCUGCCCUCCUCUGGGGCCACCCCUUCCUUCAUCCCUUCCUCCCGGCUGGACUCUUUACCACCCCAGGCACCACUGUCCUCCAGCCUGGGUGACAGAGCAAGACUCCGUCUCAAAAACAAACAAACAAACACUUUUUUUAAAAAAUAGAGUCUUGUUCUGCCGUCCAGGUUGGAGUGCGGUGGCAUGAUCUCAGCUCACUGCAACCUCCGCCUCCUGGGUUCAAGUGAUUCUCCUGUCUCAGCCUCCCGAGUAGCUGGGACUACAGGUGUGUGCCACCGCCCCGGCUAAUAUACAUAUAUACAUAUUUUUUUGUAUUUUUAGUAGAGACAGGGUUUCACCAUGUUA